RNAcentral lists this ribozyme (73 nucleotides) under unclassified sequences. RNAcentral describes it as "HDV ribozyme from F. prausnitzii". It matches the Rfam family "HDV ribozyme from F. prausnitzii". RNAcentral also lists the same sequence under 1 other name. The record is from RNAcentral.
GCUGCUCGAAACUUUGCACAUCUCUUCGUGGUGAGCAGCAGACAACGUUGAUACAGCGGCUAAGAAUGCAAAG